Molecule: long non-coding RNA, 220 nt
Filed under: Elaeis guineensis (African oil palm)
Lineage: Eukaryota; Viridiplantae; Streptophyta; Magnoliopsida; Arecales; Arecaceae
Description: long non-coding RNA (EGUI_LNC027245)
Source: RNAcentral
ACCAUGAAGCUUGCCCUCUAUCAUUGACUACCUCUUUUAAAAUAUUCAUUAAAAAUUAAUUUAAAAUCUUAGAAAAUAGAAGUUUUCGAAAAAUAAAUUUAUUUAAUAAAAUAGUCCAUUUCAAUUUUAAAUUUUUGAUUCAUUCAAUAAAUAUGUUGGAUUCAAAUUGAUAGAUUUUUGACCCAUCUUAUAUCUGAUCAUACUCAUAUUUGAUCUGACC